UUCUCCUCUCUUCUACAAACCCUAGUUGCUCCACUCAAAUCCCAGUCCCAAUUCGAUAAUCACAUGGAAAUCUUCCAUGAUUCCUUUCCUUUCUUGCACACACGGAGACGCUUACCAUCUCUUAAACAUUACAAUCAUUUGGUACUCGAUUAUUUAUGGAAAAUGAAUCACCGAUGUUCGUUCAACUCCGAUUAUGUAUUAUCUUCAUGUUUCUGACCUGAUACACUCACUUCCAGAUCUUAUUAGUCCGAGUAAUUGAGACAUUUUUACUAUUUUUGUUCUUCUUUUCAAACUAGGGUUUGCCUAAUUCUUCUUAAAUUGAUUCUAAUUGAUUUUGCAUGCUAUUCUUUCCUGUUUUAUGUUUAAUUGAUUGUUUUUCCUUGUUUGUGUGUUUAAUUUUGCUACUAUAUAAAUUCCCUCCUCAGUUUUCACUUUGGACAAAUUUUAAUCACCUUAAGAACGAUUCUCUCACAUUAAUUUAUUCUGUACUAUUCUGAAAUUGAGCUCUUGGCCGCCAAAAGCCAAGGCCACCAGAUUUUGUUCACCUUCCUCCAGUGAAAGCAUUGCUCGGAGUCCAUUUUGAGUCUCUUAUUAACUUUGAAGCACUGGGGAGUUGAGGUUUUACUGGUCUGUAAAAAUCACAUCUAUUAUUGAUGUUUUCGAGUUCUUUAUCCUUUGUUUAGUUUGUCUGCAACUGGUUAGUGCACUAUACUUUGACACUUCUUCUUCUUUUUAUUUAUGUUUGUGUUAUGUGCAUUACUGCUAUUUGGAUUUCCCAGAGUUAAUUUUAAUUUUAUGACCCUCGUAUACAAUUUUGCUUGUUUUAGUUCUACUUUGUAGUUCCCCUAGCUUUAAUUAUAUGGGAGUUCUGAUUUUAACUCACUUGUGGAUAGCUAUGUUGAUUCAUGAUGCCUGCCUGACUCGUAAUUGAAACCUCAUUGAUGGUUGUGGAACCUUGUUUUGAUUUCUUAUANNNNNNNNNNNNNNNNNNNNNNNNNNNNNNNNNNNNNNNNNNNNNNNNNNNNNNNNNNNNNNNNNNNCCCUGAUGAAACUAUCUUCCUUCUCAAAUUGCAUUCUUCACGUUGAAUCCUUUAUGCAUAAUUUGCUAUAUAUCUGCAAAUCUAUCAAUAUAUUUAGCCUAAUAUGCUAGCCUUAAUGCGUUCUCAUUAUGUGUGUCCAACUUGAAUAAUUUCUAAUCAUCAUGUUUAUGAAUAGUUGGUUGCUUAUACCUGUUGCUUAUUCUAUGUUGGUUCAUUGCCUUGUUUUGCACUUUUAUGAUAACCAACUCAUGCCUAGAAUGUGUUCUAAUUCAUGUUGAGAUAUUCAUGCCCAACUCUUUAUCUUUCUGGAGCUCUACUAUUAGCUAUGACUUUUUCUCAUGCCUUUGUAAUUGUAUCAUGUG
This 1402-nucleotide long non-coding RNA is filed under the name Nicotiana benthamiana. RNAcentral describes it as "long non-coding RNA (NBEN_LNC009003)". Lineage: Eukaryota; Viridiplantae; Streptophyta; Magnoliopsida; Solanales; Solanaceae. The record is from RNAcentral.